Non-coding RNA from Acanthosepion pharaonis, 96 nucleotides. The record is from the annotation of a GenBank genome assembly. NCBI's taxonomy places the organism in Eukaryota, Metazoa, Mollusca, Cephalopoda, Sepiida, Sepiidae.
AAAAAACCGGUUCCCAUGCGAUCACUGAAAUUAAGCAAUGUUGGGCCUGGUCAUUACCUAGAUAUGUUACCACUUGGGAAUACCAAGUGCUGUAAU